Molecule: long non-coding RNA, 215 nt
Filed under: Ananas comosus (pineapple)
Lineage: Eukaryota; Viridiplantae; Streptophyta; Magnoliopsida; Poales; Bromeliaceae
Description: long non-coding RNA (ACOM_LNC001033)
Source: RNAcentral
UAGUUUAUAGUUCAUUGCUCAUCCUAUCCUUUUGCUCUAUUUUUUAAUGUUUAUUACUGCUUUAAAACUGUUGGAACUAUUUUAUACGCCCAUUCUUUAAAUUGUGGCUACUUUCAUAAUAAAUUUCCCUUAUUUCUUUCUCACACUUCUCCUUGCUUCGAUUUUUUAAAAAAUAAUUCUCUCUAGAUUUAACUUUGUUUUUACAUAAAUUUUUU